This 423-nucleotide long non-coding RNA is filed under the name Mytilus galloprovincialis (Mediterranean mussel). The record is from RNAcentral. Lineage: Eukaryota; Metazoa; Mollusca; Bivalvia; Mytilida; Mytilidae.
AUGUCAAAGAGCACAAAAAAUGUAAUAAAGCUAAUAUUGUAAUUUACAUCUACAAAAUGGCAUCAAAUACCACCACAUGAAAUAAGAAGCCAAGUUCCUUUAAUAAAUGGGGAGGGCAAAAUUGACAAAAAGGCUUAUCUGAUAGGCUAAUUAUAUAACAAAUGAAGGUGUUAGACACCAGUUAUACUUCAAGCAAGUAUGCAGAUAUAAUAUUAAAUAUAGCUUCAAUAUGCACAAAAUAAAUAUAUAUAUACUUUUUUUUACAAAAUAUCACAGUAUUUUAUUACACAUUAUAGUACAAAUGUAUCAACACAUUUCAUAAUUGCCAUCAAUUUGAAAGUUUUAUUCCUUAGCUCAUCAUGCAGGGUUUUAAUAAAAAAAAAAAACACACACACAAAUUGAUAUAUUUUGAAAAUUUUGUUU